Molecule: transfer RNA, 71 nt
Filed under: Sphaerisporangium krabiense
Lineage: Bacteria; Bacillati; Actinomycetota; Actinomycetes; Streptosporangiales; Streptosporangiaceae
Description: tRNA-Phe
Rfam family: tRNA
About the family: Transfer RNA (tRNA) molecules are approximately 80 nucleotides in length. Their secondary structure includes four short double-helical elements and three loops (D, anti-codon, and T loops).
Source: RNAcentral
GGUAGGGGAGCAGGGUGGUUGUUCCGCCUGAAAAGCGGAAGGUCGGCGGUUCGACCCCGCCCCUGACCACC